This 518-nucleotide small RNA is filed under the name Pongo abelii (Sumatran orangutan). Its description in RNAcentral is "processed transcript". Lineage: Eukaryota; Metazoa; Chordata; Mammalia; Primates; Hominidae. The record is from RNAcentral.
GACUAAAAAGCUCAGGAAGCUGGUGAUAAGUGAAAACCUUAGUCCCACUGGCACUGCAGUGGGCCUGCAGGGGCCAGGAGAGCAGCAGCAUCAUAAGCCACAGGGGUCAGCCCCGAGUUUGAAUAGCAACAGGGGUCGGUGUGUCCAUCUGAAUCUGAAAUCUAUGAGGCAGGAGCUGGGGACAGGAUGGCAGGCGAGCCCAUGGCUGCUGCUGUACAGCCUACUGAGGUGACUGUUGAAGUUGGUGAGGACCUUCACAUGCACCACAUCCGUGACCAGAAGAUGCCUGAAGCUUUGGAGUUUAACCUUUCUGCCAAUCCAGAGGCAAGCACAAUAUUCCAGGAGAACUCUCAAACAGAUGAUUUGGAAUUUAACCCUUCUGAUAAUCCAGAGGCAAGCACAAUGCUCCAGAGGAACUCUCAAACAGAUGGUUUCAGAAAACAGUACAGCUCAUAUUCGACAAUAUUCCUUGAUGACAGCACAGCCAGCCAGCCUUAUCUUACAAUGACAACAAUAUC